UCCUUCUGCUGUCCCACUCCCUUCCUUGCCUGACACCAUCAUAGCCCUGCCCUUUGCACCCCUGUCUUAAAUGAUAGGACUUUGCUGCUGCCAUCCUCUGGCUCCCAGACAUGAUGGCUCUUUUCCUUCCAAAUAACUUUUUACAAGCAAUUAAUUAACCUCAUCAGAUCCUUUCUGUGGGUCCCAGUGCUGGGAGGGAGGUAGGAGAAGUGCCUUGUCCCCUGAGGCCAGGCAAGUGGAUAUGUGGCUACCCAGGCAGCUGCUGAAGGGAUUCUCUCUUAGGCAGCCACCUCUUCCUCACUCUGGAGCCAGCAGUGUGGGCCCAGGUCCCAGGAGAAGUAAGGGUCACCCUGCCUGCUCUCAGCCCUGGCUUAGUCUCCAAACUGCCUUCCUUAUUGGCUCCCUCCAGCUUCCCUUUUCUCCCAGUUCUCCCCCAGGCAACUUAUGGGAUCAAAGGUUGCAUGCAAAGUACAGGUGAGUGUAAACGAGCAUGACCUCAGGUAGCAGUGAUAACCUUUCCCCUGCAUGCUGGGCCUGCCAUUUUGGUGUAGCAAAUGGCGUGGAAAUACAGGGAAAUGCAUAGUGUCUGCAUGCAAAUGGGCCCAGACAUCCUGGUCACUUCCCUGGCAGCAUACAGCCCCUCGGUGUACCCAUGCAGGGUCUGAUCUGCGACCCUGAAGAGUGGUUCCUGAAAUACUUGGGCACUGGUGAUGGGAACACUGGGCCUACCUCAGCUGGUCCUGACACCUGUGGAUGAGUCCCCUUCCUUCCACUCUGAGAUCCCAGCUAGGCCCUGGAGUGUACUUAGUGCAUGACAACUGGGGAGAGGCUAGGGCUCAGAGGAAAGGCAGAGGGAGAGAGACAAAGUGGGACAUUGAUUGUGCAGCUAUCGAUGCUGGGCUCUGGGCUAGACACGCAAGUUAACUCAUGUUCUUCUGACACCCCAAGAAGUUCUUAAGGAACCUGAGGUUUAAUGAAAUGCAGCAACUGGCUCAAGAUCUUGCACUGAGUAACUUGUGAAGCCAGAACUAGACCAAGAUUUUUAUUAUCUGAGCAAAAUUAAAAUGUAAAUCAGAUAGUGCCAUCCUCUGCCCAAAUCACUCUCAUGGCUUCCCAGUGCUUUUAGUGAGAAAUUAUCUUCUUUUACAUGGCCAGCAAGACCAUGCCCCUCUCUGCCACCUCAUUUCUUACUCUGCCCCAGCACCAGGCCUUUUUAUGCUCCUCUAGCACAUGUGCUCAUUCUCUUCUUAAAGCUCUUGCACUUGCUGAUCUGCCUGCUUGGAACCUUCUUCCUCCAAAUCUUUAUAGAGUGGCUUAUUCUCGGGGCCGGGCGCGGUGGCUCAAGCCUGGAAUCCCAGCACUUUGGGAGACCUAAACAGGUGGAUCACGAGGUCAGGAGAUCGAGACCAUCCUGGCUAACACGGUGAAACCCCGUCUCUACUAAAAAAUACAAAAAACUAGCCGGGCGAGGUGGCAGGCACCUGUAGUCCCAGCUACUCGGGAGGCUGAGGCAGGAGAAUGGUGUGAACCCGGGAGGCGGAGCUUACAGUGAGCUGAGAUCCGGCCACUGCACUCCAGCCUGGACCACAGAGCAAGACUCCGUCUCAAAAAAAAAAAAAAAA
Molecule: long non-coding RNA, 1622 nt
Organism: Macaca fascicularis (crab-eating macaque)
Lineage: Eukaryota; Metazoa; Chordata; Mammalia; Primates; Cercopithecidae
Source: Ensembl